UACCAGCACCCCGAGUGGUCGGGACGUUUAUUGGGCCUAAAGCAUCCGUAGCCGGUUCUACAAGUCUUCCGUUAAAUCCAGCUGCUUAACAGAUGGGCUGCGGAAGAUACUAUGGAGCUAGGAGGCGGGAGAGGCAAGCGGUACUCGAUGGGUAGGGGUAAAAUCCGUUGAUCCAUUGAAGACCACCAGUGGCGAAGGCGGCUUGCCAGAACGCGCUCGACGGUGAGGGAUGAAAGCUGGGGGAGCAAACCGG
Molecule: ribosomal RNA, 253 nt
Filed under: uncultured bacterium
Lineage: Bacteria
Also listed under: 1 other name
Description: partial 16S ribosomal RNA
Rfam family: Archaeal small subunit ribosomal RNA
Source: RNAcentral